GAUGAACGCUAGCGGGAGGCUUAAUACAUGCAAGUCGAGGGGUAACAGGGGCUUCGGCCCGCUGACGACCGGCGCACGGGUGAGUAACGCGUACGCAACUUACCUCCAAGCGAGGGAUAGCCCUGGGAAACUGGGAUUAAUACCUCAUGUGAUUAUGAUGCCGCAUGGUGUUAUAAUUAAAGUUCAGGCGCUUGGAGAUGGGCGUGCGUCCUAUUAGCUAGUUGGUGAGGUAACGGCUCACCAAGGCGACGAUAGGGUAGGGGCUGAGAGCGUGGCCCCCCANACGGGUACUGAGACACGGACCCGACUCCUACGGGAGCAGCAGUAAGGAAUAUGGACAAUGGGCNCAAGCCUGAUCCAGCCAUCCCGCGUGCAGGAUGACAGCCCUACGGGUU
This 395-nucleotide ribosomal RNA is filed under the name uncultured bacterium. Its description in RNAcentral is "bacterial SSU rRNA". It matches the Rfam family "Bacterial small subunit ribosomal RNA", at positions 28 to 424 of the family's 1533-position model. The record is from RNAcentral.